UACGGAGGGAGCUAGCGUUGUUCGGAAUUACUGGGCGUAAAGCGCGCGUAGGCGGCUUUGUAAGUUAGAGGUGAAAGCCCGGGGCUCAACCCCGGAACAGCCUUUAAGACUGCAUCGCUAGAAUCCGGGAGAGGUGAGUGGAAUUCCGAGUGUAGAGGUGAAAUUCGUAGAUAUUCGGAAGAACACCAGUGGCGAAGGCGGCUCACUGGACCGGCAUUGACGCUGAGGUGCGAAAGCGUGGGGAGCAAAUAGG
RNAcentral lists this ribosomal RNA (253 nucleotides) under uncultured bacterium. RNAcentral's name for it is "partial 16S ribosomal RNA". It matches the Rfam family "Bacterial small subunit ribosomal RNA", at positions 524 to 776 of the family's 1533-position model. The record is from RNAcentral.